This 406-nucleotide ribosomal RNA is filed under the name uncultured bacterium. RNAcentral describes it as "partial 16S ribosomal RNA". It matches the Rfam family "Bacterial small subunit ribosomal RNA", at positions 29 to 526 of the family's 1533-position model. The record is from RNAcentral.
AUUGAACGCUGGCGGCAGGCCUAACACAUGCAAGUCGAACGAGUGCCGGACGGGUGAGUAAUGUCUGGGAAACUGCCCGAGGGAGGGGGAUAACUACUGGAAACGGUAGCUUAUACCGCAUACCAUCGGAUGUUCACAGACGGGAAUAGCUAGUAGGUGGGGUAACGGCUCAACUAGGCGACGAUCCCUAGAUGGUCUGAAAGGAUGACCAGCGACACGGGAACUGAGACACGGUCCAGACUCCUACGGAAGGAAGCAGUGGGGAAGAUUGCACAAUGGGCGAAAGCCUGAUGCAGCCAUGCCGGGUGUAUGAAGAAGGCGUACGGGUUGUAAAGUACUUUCAGCGAGGAGACGUUAGUCGCAGAAGAAGCAGCGGCUAACUCCGUGCCAGCAGCCGCGGUGAUUC